CAGUGAUUCACAACAGAAAUUUUAGGCCCUAAGAAGUCCCUCCCAUAAUUUCUCAUUCAGCAUUUUCUAAGGACAAAGACUGAACAAGUAACAUACUUUAG
Molecule: non-coding RNA, 101 nt
Organism: Leptonychotes weddellii (Weddell seal)
Lineage: Eukaryota; Metazoa; Chordata; Mammalia; Carnivora; Phocidae
Source: RefSeq, a predicted model, not a curated record